GUGAGGAAUAUUGGGCAAUGGGGGAAACCCUGACCCAGCGACGCCGCGUGAGGGAAGAAGGUCUUCGGAUUGUAAACCUCUGUCUUCGGGGACGAUAAUGACGGUACCCGGGGAGGAAGCCACGGCUAACUACGUGCCAGCAGCCGCGGUAAAACGUAGGUGGCAAGCGUUGUCCGGAAUUACUGGGUGUAAAGGGAGCGCAGGUGGGGCUGUAAGUCGAAUGUGAAAUCUAUGGGCUCAACUCAUAAAUUGCGUUCGAUACUAUAGUUCUUGAGUGGAGUAGAGGCAGGCGGAAUUCCCGGUGUAGCGGUGGAAUGCGUAGAUAUCAGGAGGAACACCAGUGGCGAAGGCGGCCUGCUGGGCUUUAACUGACACUGAGGCUCGAAAGCGUGGGUAGCAAACAGGAUUAGAAACCCGUGUAGUCC
RNAcentral lists this ribosomal RNA (425 nucleotides) under uncultured bacterium. Its description in RNAcentral is "partial 16S ribosomal RNA". It matches the Rfam family "Bacterial small subunit ribosomal RNA", at positions 354 to 796 of the family's 1533-position model. The record is from RNAcentral.